AUGGUUUUCAGUUCCAUCGGGUCAUUUAAGGUCUUUUCUACACUGUUUAUUCUAGUUAGCCAUUCUUUCAUCUCUAUCAGUUCGUUUAUGGACUUCUCUGCAUUGGUUAUUCUAGUUAUUCAUUCUUUCAUUCUUUUUUCAACGUUUUUAACUUCUUUUUGCUGGGUACGUAGUUCCUCUUUUGUCUCUGAGAAGUUUGAUCAACUGAAGCCUUCUUCUCUCAGCUCAUCAAAGUCAUUCUCCAUCCAGCUUUGUUCCAUUGCUGGCAAUGAGCUGUGUUCCUUUGGAGGGGGAGAUGUGCUCUGAUUUUUUGAAUUUCCAGCUUUUCUGCACUGCUUUUUCCCCAUCUUUGUGGUUUUAUCUGUCUUUGGUCUUUGAUGAUGGUGAUGUACUGAUGGGGUUUCCAUGUGGGUGUCCUUUCUGAUUGUUAGUUUUCCUUCUAACAGUCAGGACCCUCAGCUGUAAGUCUGUUGGAGUUUGCUUGAGGUCCACUCCAGAGAGGUUGCAGAAGAUAGAAUAUUGCUGAACAGGAAGUGUUGCUGUCUGAUUCUUGCUCUGGAAGCUUCAUCUCAGAAGUGUACCCAGCCGUGUGAGGUGUGAGGUGUCAGUCUGCACCUAGUGGGGGAUGUCUCCCCGUUAGGCUACUCAGGGUUCAGGGACCCACUUGAGCAGACAGUCUGUCCAUUCUCAGAUCUCAACCUCCAUGCUGGGAGAAUCACUGCUCUCUUCAAAGCUGUCUGACAGGGACAUUUGCUUCUGCAGGUGUUUCUGCUGCUUUUUGUUUAGCUAUGCCCUAUCCCCAGAGGUGGAGUCUAUAGAGGCAGGCAGGCCUCCUUGAUCUGCAGUGGGCUCCACCCAGUUCGAGCUUCCUGUUGGCUUUGUUUACCUACUUAAGCCUCUGCAAUGGUGGGCACCCCUCUCCCAGCUUCACUGCCGCCUUCCAGUUAGAUCUCAGACUACUGUGCUAGCAAUGAGGGAGGCUUUGUGGGUGUGGGACCCUCUGGGCCAGGUGUGGGAUAUAAUCUCCUGAUGUGCCAUUUGCUAAGACCCUUGGUAAAGUGCAGUAUUAGGGUAGGAGUUAUCCAAUUUUCCAGGUGUUGUAUGUCUCAGUUUCCCUUGGCUAGGAAAAGGAAUUCCCUUCUCCCUUGUGCUUCCCAGGUGAGGUGAUGCCUUGCCCUGCUUCAGCUGUCACUGAUUUGGCUGCACCCACUGACCAGCACCGACUGUCUGACAUGUCCCAGUGAGAUGAACCAGUACCUCAGUUGAUAAUGCAGAAAUCACCCAUCUUCUUUGUCAUUCAUGCUGGGAACUGGAGGCUGGAGCUGUUCCUAUUCAGCCAUCUUGGGUACCCCCCUGGACUUCUUUUUCCCUGAACUAUUACUUUUAAAUUUCACUGAAAUUGUAGCAUUAUCUAGAGACAUCCUUAACCUAGGCUCUUUUCUAGAGAGUGCACUAUCUUGGAUGCACCAAACAAAAAGAUCUACAAUUUCCAUGACCUUGUAUGGAGAUUUAAUUGAAAAAGAAGACUGGGGAGGAUAUGAACAUGACAACUCUAUCUUAGAAAACCAUGGAUAGGGGAUUCUAUAGCCAGAGGCCUAUUCUUGUUUGCUAGUAUUCCUCUCCUUGAAAGAUUAGUACUUAAUAUUUCUAUUAUGACGCAAUGAGGGUAGAAGGCAACAAUAGGAGCCAUAGAAGCAGAACAAUUCAUAGGCUCUUUAGCCUCAAUAGUAGUACAAAAUAGACAGACCCUAGAUGUCCUUACGACUGAAGUAGGGGUACCUGUGCACUUUUAAAUAAAACAUGCUGCUUCUGGAUCAACGCCUCUAGUCAAGUUGAAGUGAACCUAAAGGUGCUUAAAGAUCAAGUUAGAAUCAUUAACAGGUUAAGAGAAAAUGUGGGCUCCAGUCCCAGGUGGCCAGCAUCCCUUCUUAAUAAAUUCCAGUCUUCUUUAUGAAGAUGGUUAGCUCCUUUAUUAGGCUCCUGUUUGCUCAUGUGUUUUGUGCUAAUAUUUGGAACUUGUAUACUCAAUACUAUAACUCAAAUUGUUUUCUCUCACCUAGAAGCUAUUAAACUCUAAGUGGUGUUGCACAUGGAAUCACAUAUAGACCUGUCUUUUUUCCAAGGACCCUUAGAUUGACCCUCAGGAGGAGCCCUAGGUGCUGUUCCUGACACAACAUCCCUCUCCAGCAAGAAGCAGUCAGAAGAGUUGUUGUGCAACACUCACCCCCGGCCAACAACAAUUAGUAUUUCCACUCUAGGGGGUGGGAAUGAUAUAGAAGAUAGAAAGAAAUUAUUUAGUCAGAUAGUGAGGGCAAAUAGUCCUUGGCAGAGCUUCCCUUCUCUCAAAAAGUAAACCAAGAAAUAGGCUUUUUUUCUAACAAAGAGCAGCCUGAAAGUGUGAGCUGCAAACAUAGUUAAGAAAGCUGAAAGUUUACAUGGGAGAAUGCCAGCAGCUGCACCAAUAGAAAAUGGCUACUUGAAGACCAGACAUGUUCACCAUGGAAGCUCCAUCUUUCUAUUUUUGUUAGCAUGUGUACAGUUUGAAAGAAGUAGGCAACAUGGAGAGAACUGACCUGCAUAAUAAUAUAUUUGGUUGAGGGCUUCCAGAGAUUUGCACCCUAUGCAGAUGGCACACCUGGUCCUAACCAGUUUGUUGUACCCUAUGUAGAUCAGACACUGCCUCCCCACUAGCUCAUCUAUAAAAAUGCCUGAAUUCACAACACAUUGGCAACAGAUUUUUCUGGGAUCUCCCUCUGUAGCAGAGAGCUACUAUCUUUUCUAUUUUUUUUCUAUAAAAUUUCUGCUCUUAUUCUCACUCUUUGUAUGUCUACAUUCUUGAUUUUCAUUGCCAUGAGAUAAUGAACUUCAGGUGUCAUUCCAGACAAUGAGGCUGCUUCAUCAGUACCAUCCAGGAAACAUAAGCUCACCAGAUGCAUUAAAUAACGCACCAGGCAUCAAUCCUGGACACAGCGCUAUAUGACCUUUCAGACAUAGAAUUCAAAACAGCAGUAUUGAGGAAACUAAAAGAAAUUCAAGAUAACACAGAAAAGAAAUUCAGAAUUCUAUCAGAUUAACAAAAAGAUUUUACAAAUUAAAAACAAUCAAGUAGAGAUUCUAAAAUUGAAAAAUUCAAUUGGCAUACUGAAAAAUGUAUCAGUCUUUUAGUAGAAAAAUAUUUCAAGCAGAGGAAAUAAUUAGUGAGCUUGAAGACAGACUAUUUAAAAAUACACAGUCAGAGAAGCAAAAGAAUUUAAAAAAUGAAGCAUGCCAUGAUCUAGAAAAUAGCUUCAAAAUGGCAAAUCUGUUAUUAACAUUCAAGAAAUCAUAGAAAAAAGAUAGGAAUAGAAAGCUUAUUCAAAGGGAUAAUAACAGAGAAGUUCCAAAAUCUAGAGAAAGAUAUCAAUAUCCAAGUACAACAGGGUUAUAUAACACCAAGCACCUUUAACCACCCCCCCCCCAAAAAUACUAUCUCUGAAAAUUUAAUAAUCAAACACCCAAAGGUUAAGGAUUAAAAAAAGAUCCUAGAAGCAGCAAGAGAAGAGAAACAAAUAAGACACAAUGAAGCUCCAGUAUGUCUGGUAGCCGACUUUUCACUGGAAACAUCACAGACAAGAAGAGAUGGACAUUACAUAUUUAAAGUGCUGAAGGGAAAAAACUUUUACCCUAGAAUAGUACAUCCAGCAAAAUUAUUCUUCAAACAAAGAGCAGAAAUAAAGACACCCUUCGACAAACAAACACCAAGGGAUUUCAUCAACACCAGACCUGUCCUACAAAAAAUGUUAAAGGAAGUAGUUCAAUCAGAAAGAAAACUAUGCAAAAAUUAAUAAGAAAUCACCUAACCACACAAAACUCACUGACUAUAGUAAGUACACAGAAAAACCCAGAAUAUUAUAACAGUGUUAAACUGUGGUGUGUAAACAACUGUUAUUCUGCAUAGAAAAUAAUGAACUAGUAAAAAUAAUAACUAAAACAACAUUUCAAGAUACCAACAGGGCAAAAAUAUAUAAGUAGAAAUGAGUAAUAGUUAAGAAGCAAGGGGACAAAAUUAAAGCAUAGCAUAAUGAGUAGGUUUCUUUUUGCUUUUUGUUGUUUGGUGUAUGUAAAAUGUGUUAGGUUGCUUUCAGCUUAAAACACUGGGUUAUAACUACCAUCAGAGAAUACUAUAAACACCUCCAUGCAAAUAAACUAGAAAAUUUAGAUAAUUUCCUGGACACUUACACUCUUCCAAGACUAAACCAGGAAGAAGUUGAAUCCCUGAAUAGACCAAUAGCAGGCUCUGAAAUUGAGGCAAUAAUUAAUAGCCUACCAACCAAAAAAAGUCCACAACCAGAAGGAUGCACAGCCAAAUUCUACCAAGGUACAAACAGGAGCUGGUAGCAUUCCUUCUGAAACUAUUCCAAUCAAUAGAAAAAGAGGGAAUCCUCCCUAACUCAUUUGAUGAGGCCAACAUCAUCGUGAUACCAAAGCCUGGCAGAGAUACAACAAAAAUUUACUAGACCAAUAUCCUGAUGAACAUCGAUGCAAAAAUCGCAAUAAGGAAAUACUGGCAAGCCAGUUCAGCAGCACAUCAAAAGCUAAUCCACCACCA
Long non-coding RNA from Papio anubis (olive baboon), 4588 nucleotides. Lineage: Eukaryota; Metazoa; Chordata; Mammalia; Primates; Cercopithecidae. The record is from Ensembl.